RNAcentral lists this ribosomal RNA (253 nucleotides) under uncultured bacterium. Its description in RNAcentral is "partial 16S ribosomal RNA". It matches the Rfam family "Bacterial small subunit ribosomal RNA", at positions 524 to 776 of the family's 1533-position model. The record is from RNAcentral.
UACGAAGGGGGCUAGCGUUGUUCGGAAUUACUGGGCGUAAAGCGCGUGUAGGCGGGUCUUUAAGUCCGGGGUGAAAUGCCAAGGCUCAACCUUGGAACUGCCUUUGAUACUGGAGAUCUUGAGUCCGGGAGAGGUGAGUGGAACUGCGAGUGGAGAGGUGAAAUUCGUAGAUAUUCGCAAGAACGCCAGUGGCGAAGGCGGCUCACUGGCCCGGAACUGACGCUGAGACGCGAAAGCGUGGGGAGCAAACAGG